GCAGAAGUCAAGAACUGAAAAUGUAUAGUCAGCAACCCUCCCUACAGCCUGGCAGUGACUCUGGAAUUCCAUUUCCUCAGUGUAACAGGGGUAAUGCUUUCCUACCUCAAAAAGCACUGAGACAUGCAAUGGUUAAGCAGCCUCGAAGUUAAGCUGAAGGAUUUUGUUCAGAGUGUUUAUCCAUUCUUCCAUCUCAAUUUCACUGUCUGCAGCUAAAAGGAACCGUUGAAUGAAUGUAUCGACUCUGACGUUUCAGUAAUGCUGUCUGAUAAACAACA
Oxyura jamaicensis (ruddy duck) is the source of this 278-nucleotide long non-coding RNA. RefSeq lists it as uncharacterized. The transcript has 3 exons. NCBI's taxonomy places the organism in Eukaryota, Metazoa, Chordata, Aves, Anseriformes, Anatidae. The record is from RefSeq and is a predicted model, not a curated record.